GAUUGCCUUCACUUCACGGAAGCUAUAAAAGGCCCUAGAAACAUAUCCAUUCUGCCUCUUUCCUGCUCAAACCUCUGGACUAUGGACUUACUCUAAUGGAAGUUAUUCUAACCAAGAGACUGAAGACUUCCCAGUGAUUUGGAAGCAACCAGAGCAACCAGUUUAUUCUACCACGGCUACAAUCCUGAACCAAGAACUUUCAAUAAUUAUAUUCCCGAUGCUUCAGAAAUGAAAUCAACAUCUCCCUCUCCUGCCUUCUCCCUCCAUCCCUCUUUGUUGUGACUACAAUCGAGAGAGCAUCUUUCACAGCCCUGGAUGUUCAGCAAACAAUCCAUAGCAUGGAAAGCAGGACUGAAGCCCUAGCCCAGACUAAGUCAAAGGAUGUAUUCUGAUUCUUACCAUUUCACAGAUGAAAUGGGCUUGUGCAGCUGGGUGCUAGUUUUAUGGCGUGAGACAUUAACUGCAUUGAACCCAGGGCUGGAUUGAGACCUUUAGAGGCCCUAAGCACUGAAAAGAUUAUGGUGCCCCCAAUAUGUAAU
Molecule: non-coding RNA, 539 nt
Organism: Pelodiscus sinensis (Chinese soft-shelled turtle)
Lineage: Eukaryota; Metazoa; Chordata; Testudines; Trionychidae
Source: RefSeq, a predicted model, not a curated record